Molecule: long non-coding RNA, 350 nt
Filed under: Vulpes vulpes (red fox)
Lineage: Eukaryota; Metazoa; Chordata; Mammalia; Carnivora; Canidae
Description: lncRNA (ENSVVUG00000024758.1)
Source: RNAcentral
AUGAUUACCCUGCAGACUUAUGAAAUAUCUCCAGUAGAUGUGAGAAUGAGAAUGUGCUCAGCGGUCUCCAGCAGUGAGAAAGAAAAUGAUAUCCUUGGAGACCUUGCCUCUAUUACCGGUGCAAGUGCUGAAAGAACUGAGGAAAAGGAAGCAGCAGGCAGUGCUGAAAGAAAAAUGAGCUUCCUGAGCCCAUGGUCCAGGAGGUCAGCAGUGUAUCUCUCACCUUUGAGCAGCUUCAGAAUGGCAUCCCAACAGAGCCCUGUCACUGAGCCACUUCUCUCUGAGAUUUAAGAUCAAAAGAGUCAAGUAUCCAGGUCCCUGCAGAUUUAAGCACCAACCUCUCAGCAAAU